CAGACACGCGAACGUCAUGACUUUUUGACAGGAGAUACGCUCAAUGAAUAUUGAUAAGACACUUACUCAGUUUGGGGACACUCCUUCAUCGACAUGGACGGAGUUAGUGGCGCCUGCGAAGAAAACAAUGUCACAAGUCAAGAACUACACAAGAAACCCAAACAAUAUGUCUUUGAUGAUCUGUUUGAAAUGGUUGGCGGGCUCGGUCGAUAUCCAGCAAUGCUUUAUUUAUUUACAUGCAUUAUGUCCAUACCGAUCGGCUUGGCUCAGCUAGUACAAGUUUUCUAUGGUGCUUCACCAAGCUUCGAGUGUAGUACUACCCGUGAUCUUGCAAGUAAUAGCAGUACUUGUCCGGUGAAUACGUGUUGCGCAAACUGCUCAAGUUACGAUUUUCAAGGAGUCCUGACAAGCGCCGUUUCAGAGUGGAAUUUGAUCUGCAGUCGUUCUCACUUGAAGGCAAUGACACAGGCCGUCUAUAUGGCUGGUCUUCUGGUCGGAUCGUUUGCUUUUGGUGUGAUAUCUGAUAGGUUUGGACGUCGUUUAUCAAUCUUUCUAAGCAUCUUCCUGUUGGCUUCAUGUGGUGUGGCGUCAGGAGUGGCUGACUGUCUCUCACUUUUUGCGCUAUUUCGUUUCGGGACUGGUGCUGCGUGUGCUGGGUGUUUGAUAUCUCGUUACGUGUACUGCGUUGAGCUAGUCGUCACAAAACAUCGUACAGCGGCAGGUUUUAUCAGCAAUAUCUUUGUUAGUAUUGGAUUUAACUUGUUGGCUUUAUUGGCGUACUUAAUACGAGACUGGAGGCACUUGAUGCUAGCUGUAUCGCUUCCUGCAGCCCCUCUUCUUGUAUGCUGGUGGUUCAUCCCUGAGUCUCCAAGAUGGCUGAUUGCUCAGAAUCGAAUCGAUGAAGCACAUCAGCUCCUUUUAAAAUUUGCUUGCAAAAACAGAGUUAAGGUUGACGAGGAGGAACUGAAGCUCGUAAUACUUGAAAUAAAGAAAGCCGAACUGCGCCAAGAUAAUACGAGGAAGUAUGGCGUCCUUGAUUUGGUGAAAACGCGCAAGUUGAGAAAGAGAACAAUCAUUUGCUGUUUCAACUGGUUCGUGAAUACAUUGGUUUAUUUUGGUAUCAACUUGAAUGUGAAGAAUCUAGGGGGCGAUAUGUAUCUGAACUUCUUCAUCUUGAGCAUCAUUGAAAUUCCAGGUGCACUAUUCUGCUGGUUCCUUAUGGCCAGGUGCACUAUCAGUUUGGUUCUUCGCCAGAUUUGGACGGCGCAUACCGUAUUCCGUUCUGAUGCUGACCAGUGGGAUUGCAUGCAUGCUUGUAUUGGCAUUUCCAUCAACCCCAGAAUAUCGAUAUGGUAUUUUAACAUUGGCCAUGAUCGGCAAGAUAUGCAUCAUGUCCACCUUCCUCGCUAUCUAUGUCUACACAGUUGAGCUCUACCCCACCCUUAUCAGGAACAUUGGCAUUGGCACGUCGUCUAUGAUGGCACGAUUUGGUGGGAUUGCAGCACCUUACGUCGUUCUGCUGGCUGAUCUUCCCAAUGUCAGUAAAACGCUUCCUUUGGUGAUAUUUGGAGUGAUGGGCGUGACCGCAG
Molecule: unclassified non-coding RNA, 1589 nt
Filed under: Exaiptasia diaphana
Lineage: Eukaryota; Metazoa; Cnidaria; Anthozoa; Actiniaria; Aiptasiidae
Description: organic cation transporter protein, transcript variant X1
Source: RNAcentral